This 395-nucleotide ribosomal RNA is filed under the name uncultured bacterium. RNAcentral describes it as "bacterial SSU rRNA". It matches the Rfam family "Bacterial small subunit ribosomal RNA", at positions 32 to 410 of the family's 1533-position model. The record is from RNAcentral.
AAUCAACGCUGGCGGCGUGCCUAACACAUGCAAGUCGAACGCGAAAGUCCCGCAAGGGAUUAGUAGAGUGGCAAACGGGUGAGUAACACGUGGGUGACCUGCCUUCGAGCGGGGGAUAACGUCCCGAAAGGGACGCUAAUACCGCAUAACAUCCUGUCUUUUAAGAGAUGGUGAUCAAAGCCGGGGAUUCGCAAGAACCUGGCACUUGAAGAGGGGCCCGCGCCUGAUUAGCAGUUGGUGGGGUAAUGGCUCACCAAGGCAACGAUCAGUAUCCGGCCUGAGAGGGCGGACGGACACACUGGGACUGAGACACGGCCCAGACUCCUACGGGAGGCAGCAGUGGGAAUUGUUCGCAAUGGGCGCAAGCCUGACGACGCAACGCCGCGUGGAGGAUG